CCUACGGGGUGCAGCAGUGGGGAAUAUUGGGCAAUGGGCGCAAGCCUGACCCAGCAACGCCGCGUGAAGGAAGAAGGCUUUCGGGUUGUACACUUCUUUUGUCAGGGAAGAGUAGAAGACGGUACCUGACGAAUAAGCCACGGCUAACUACGUGCCAGCAGCCGCGGUAAUACGUAGGUGGCAAGCGUUGUCCGGAUUUACUGGGUGUAAAGGGCGUGUAGCCGGGUUGACAAGUCAGAUGUGAAAUCCUGCGGCUUAACCGCAGAACUGCAUUUGAAACUGUUGAUCUUGAGUACUGGAGAGGCAGACGGAAUUCCUAGUGUAGCGGUGAAAUGCGUAGAUAUUAGGAGGAACACCAGUGGCGAAGGCGGUCUGCUGGACAGCAACUGACGGUGAGGCGCGAAAGCGUGGGGAGCAAACAGGAUUAGAUACCCCAGUAGUC
RNAcentral lists this ribosomal RNA (442 nucleotides) under uncultured bacterium. RNAcentral's name for it is "partial 16S ribosomal RNA". It matches the Rfam family "Bacterial small subunit ribosomal RNA", at positions 338 to 795 of the family's 1533-position model. The record is from RNAcentral.